GUGAAUCAUCAAAUUUUUGAACGCAAAUUGCACUCUCUUCGGAGAGUAUGCCUGUUUGAGGGUCAGCUUAAAAAAAAAUCGACAUAGUCGCUGUUUCGCGGUUACAUUCGUCGGAAAUUGGGUCAUCUUAAACCUUUUUGUUUUAAGCGGCUUAAAAUUUUCUUUACGAUUCUACGAACGUUCCUAAGUUUUACUUCUUAUACUUUUAAGGUAUCGAUCUUUAUUAGACGUUGCCGUUGCAUCGGAUCUCUUCCAUAAAUAUUACGUUAACUUACCUCAGACAGGUAAGAACCCCCGC
Molecule: unclassified non-coding RNA, 298 nt
Filed under: Glomus sp.
Lineage: Eukaryota; Fungi; Glomeromycota; Glomeromycetes; Glomerales; Glomeraceae
Description: partial contains 5.8S ribosomal RNA and internal transcribed spacer 2
Rfam family: 5.8S ribosomal RNA (bases 1-65)
Source: RNAcentral